This 216-nucleotide ribosomal RNA is filed under the name Glomeromycotina sp. RNAcentral describes it as "partial small subunit ribosomal RNA". The stretch from base 40 to 216 matches the Rfam family "Eukaryotic small subunit ribosomal RNA", at positions 686 to 864 of the family's 1831-position model. The record is from RNAcentral. Lineage: Eukaryota; Fungi; Glomeromycota.
GGGUCAGUAGGUUGGUCGUGCCACCGGUACGUACUGGUCUCACUGAUUCCUCCUUCCUGAAGAACCGUAAUGCCAUUAAUUUGGUGUUGCGGAGAAACAGGACUGUUACUUUGAAAAAAUUAGAGUGUUUAAAGCAAGCUAACGCUUGAAUACAUUGGCAUGGAAUAAUGAAAUAGGACGAUCGAUCCUAUUUUGUUGGUUUCUAGGAUUGACGUA